Molecule: ribosomal RNA, 425 nt
Filed under: uncultured bacterium
Lineage: Bacteria
Description: bacterial SSU rRNA
Rfam family: Bacterial small subunit ribosomal RNA
Source: RNAcentral
GUGGGGGAUAUUGCACAAUGGGCGAAAGCCUGAUGCAGCAACGCCGCGUGAAGGAAGACGGUUUUCGGAUUGUAAACUUCUAUCAGCUGGGAAGAAAAUGACUGUACCAGACUAAGAAGCCCCGGCUAACUACGUGCCAGCAGCCGCGGUAAUACGUAGGGGGCAAGCGUUAUCCGGAUUUACUGGGUGUAAAGGGUACGUAGGCGGCUUAUUAAGUCAGAUGUGAAAGCCCGGAGCUCAACUCCGGGAUUGCAUUUGAAACUGGUGAGCUAGAGUACAGGAGAGGUAAGUGGAAUUCCUAGUGUAGCGGUGAAAUGCGUAGAUAUUAGGAAGAACACCAGUGGCGAAGGCGACUUACUGGACUGUAACUGACGCUGAGGUACGAAAGCGUGGGGAGCGAACAGGAUUAGAAACCCUAGUAGUCC